GAUGAUCGUAACGUCCGUGUACGAUCAAGGUAAGAACGUAAACAAGUAACCGGACACAAUGUUGAUUUGUCAUUGUACUUCAAAUAAAAAAUCAUUUUUGUGGCUGAUUUGGCUGGAGUGAAGGAUAUUGCGGUCCACUACAAAGCUCUGACAUCCGAAACUCAUUUGCAAGAUAUUAAGCAUAGGAGCAUCAGUAGUUUCC
This is a non-coding RNA of Pelobates cultripes (western spadefoot toad), 202 nucleotides long. NCBI's taxonomy places the organism in Eukaryota, Metazoa, Chordata, Amphibia, Anura, Pelobatidae. The record is from the annotation of a GenBank genome assembly.